CUGAAUCCAUCUGAUGUGGAUUUAGGUGGUUAGUUAACUAACAAGGGGACAAUCUACUAACUUGCAUGUAUUGACAUCAAUUGCCUUCUAACAUGGACAACCUUUGGUUGAAGCUAACAUAGAGGUAGUAACUAAUAGAGUACGAACACGUACCAUCAACAUAGUUGUUGUGACAAACAAACUAACAAAUAAUGACUCCAGAAAUAAGAAUUAUACAACAGAACAAUGGUAAUCCCAGUAAACCGUAAACAAAAAAAAUUUCAUCCAUGUGGACAGUAAAGUGUGCAACAAUUUGUGAAUCAUACUACCUUGGCUGCUGUUGAUCUUGGAACCGAACACGCAGACCCCGAGAUGAUACGGAAAUCUGAAGGCGACAUUGAAGGAAAAUUGAUUUAGUACGUCGUGCAUAACCGUAACGAUGAACGCAAGUUACUGGCUCCGGAUCGAGGCGAGCAACAACAUACCUGGGAAGAUGCCGACGCGACGAGGGGGUACCAGAGGAAGACGGAGCGGCGUCGCCGGUGUGAGUGAGGCAACCCUAGCGACAGUAAACGGUCAAGUCUCCACCGCGGCGGAGGUGGCGAAUGAGAGGGGCCGAAUGGAGGAGAGAGCACACGUACCUCCGAACAACGGGGGAAGAGGUUCCUUGGCGACGGGUCUCAGUCGUCGACGUCGGUGCACGAACCCUAGCGAAGACGGCAAUGAGACGCGGCUGUGGGAGGAGAACAAACGGUCUCGAAGGACGAGUUCGCCGAGGAGUCGCCCGUACCUGUGAAGACGACAAACUGCGGGGAGGAGAUGGACCGGCG
This 809-nucleotide long non-coding RNA is filed under the name Zea mays. Its description in RNAcentral is "long non-coding RNA (ZMAY_LNC005557)". The record is from RNAcentral. Lineage: Eukaryota; Viridiplantae; Streptophyta; Magnoliopsida; Poales; Poaceae.